CAAGAACUAAUCAAGGAAUUGCAAGAGGGAUAUCACAACCACAGGAUGGUAGCACUCUCCAUCUGACCAGUGGCACCCCUCAGGAGGAGGGAGUCGUAGAUCCUAAUGGGAGUACUUCGAGAGCACAUCAGGAAUCAGAUAUGGCUCAGUUAAUGCAGACCCUAAUCAGGAUGGUACAAGCGCAACAAUAAAUACAACAGCAAAUAUUUGAACAACAGCAGAUACAACGAGAUACACAAUAACAUCAGCAUCCACCACCACAACAUAGAGAGCAACCAAUACAACGAAACAAUAUUUCAGAAUUUAAAAAGCUUGCUCCUCCAGCUUUCAAGGGGACUACUGAACCUUUGAAGGCUGACAAUUGGAUAAUGGAGAUGGAGAAGGCCUUCGC
RNAcentral lists this long non-coding RNA (391 nucleotides) under Elaeis guineensis (African oil palm). RNAcentral describes it as "long non-coding RNA (EGUI_LNC056842)". The record is from RNAcentral. Lineage: Eukaryota; Viridiplantae; Streptophyta; Magnoliopsida; Arecales; Arecaceae.